GUGUGGGGGAGCUGCCUCUUCCGUGCCGCAGUUAACACAAUAAGUAAUCCACCUGGAGAGUACGGCCGCAAGGUAGAAACUCAAAGGAAUUGACGGGGGCCCGCACAAGCAGUGGAGUAUGUGGUUUAAUUCGAAGCAACGCGAAGAACCUUACCAGGUCUUGACAUCGAGUGACGAAUGUAGAGAUACAUUCUUCCUUCGGGACACGAAGACAGGUGGUGCAUGGUUGUCGUCAGCUCGUGUCGUGAGAUGUUGGGUUAAGUCCCGCAACGAGCGCAACCCUUAUCAUUAGUUGCUAAGCAAGAGCACUCUAAUGAGACUGCCGUUGACAAAACGGAGGAAGGUGGGGAUGACGUCAAAUCAUCAUGCCCCUUAUGACCUGGGCUACACACGUACUACAAUGGCCGUCAACAGAGGGAAGCAAAGCCGCGAGGUGGAGCAAACCCCUAAAAACGGUCCCAGUUCAGAUUGCAGGCUGCAACUCGCCUGCAUGAAGUUGGAAUGCUAGAAUC
This 512-nucleotide ribosomal RNA is filed under the name uncultured bacterium. RNAcentral's name for it is "bacterial SSU rRNA". It matches the Rfam family "Bacterial small subunit ribosomal RNA", at positions 820 to 1342 of the family's 1533-position model. The record is from RNAcentral.